Molecule: ribosomal RNA, 497 nt
Filed under: uncultured bacterium
Lineage: Bacteria
Description: partial 16S ribosomal RNA
Rfam family: Bacterial small subunit ribosomal RNA
Source: RNAcentral
GAUGAACGCUGGCGGCGUGCCUAAUACAUGCAAGUCGAGCGAACAGACGAGGAGCUUGCUCCUCUGACGUUAGCGGCGGACGGGUGAGUAACACGUGGAUAACCUACCUAUAAGACUGGGAUAACUUCGGGAAACCGGAGCUAAUACCGGAUAAUAUAUUGAACCGCAUGGUUCAAUAGUGAAAGACGGUUUUGCUGUCACUUAUAGAUGGAUCCGCGCCGCAUUAGCUAGUUGGUAAGGUAACGGCUUACCAAGGCAACGAUGCGUAGCCGACCUGAGAGGGUGAUCGGCCACACUGGAACUGAGACACGGUCCAGACUCCUAAGGGAGGCAGCAGUAGGGAAUCUUCCGCAAUGGGCGAAAGCCUGGCGGAGCAGCGCCGCGUGAGUGAUGAAGGUCUUCGGAUCGUAAAACUCUGUUAUUAGGGAAGAACAAAUGUGUAAGUAACUAUGCACGUCUUGACGGUACCUAAUCAGAAAGCCACGGCUAACUACGUG